This 291-nucleotide long non-coding RNA is filed under the name Physcomitrium patens. RNAcentral's name for it is "long non-coding RNA (PPAT_LNC003326)". The record is from RNAcentral. Lineage: Eukaryota; Viridiplantae; Streptophyta; Bryopsida; Funariales; Funariaceae.
GUAAGACUUGACAAAUUAUUGAAAAUACUUAUCUUAAAUGAGAUUGUUAAUGAUUUGAGAUCCCUAUUUUGAGUAAAUGCUCUUUGUCAUCCUCACAACCUUUUGAUAAAAACUUACUUUUUGGAAUAAUUUAUUCCUUAAAUUAUCUUUAUUUAUAGAGUAUUUAGGAAAUUUGGUGGAGAGGUAUAAGAUACAUCCUUAAAAAUAUUUUUGAAUUUUGAUAAUCUUAUAGUUUUUAUUUCUUCUAUUGUAUUUUAUAGUUAAAUGUUUGAAAAAUUUGGACUUUCAAAA